AAAAUAAUACCACUCAUCAAACUCAUUUUUGUGCCUUAGUGCAUUAAUCCUGAAAAUCAUUUUCUCAAAGGUAAAAUCAACCAACACACAAGCAUUUUCUACUCAGAACUAUAGAGCUCUGAUUCCUCAUCCCCGAAUGAGUGAUACAUAGGCACAAGGGCCCCAAUCCUUGGCAAGCACUAUAAUAACAAAAUACCUCAUCCUCUUUUACACACAUUUCUUUUUGAAAAUAAAACAAUGAUAGAUAAAUCCCCAUGUAUAUAAAAC
This 267-nucleotide long non-coding RNA is filed under the name Lathyrus oleraceus (garden pea). RNAcentral describes it as "Pisum sativum (pea) long non-coding RNA (PSAT_LNC013473)". Lineage: Eukaryota; Viridiplantae; Streptophyta; Magnoliopsida; Fabales; Fabaceae. The record is from RNAcentral.